GAUGAACGCUGGCGGCGUGCUUAACACAUGCAAGUCGAACGGGAAACAUUUUAUUGAAGCUUCGGCAGAUUUAGCUUGUUUCUAGUGGCGGACGGGUGAGUAACGCGUGGGUAACCUGCCUUAUACUGGGGGAUAACAGUUAGAAAUGGCUGCUAAUACCGCAUAAGCGCACGGAGCCGCAUGGCUCAGUGUGAAAAACUCCGGUGGUAUAAGAUGGACCCGCGUUGGAUUAGCUAGUUGGCAGGGCAGCGGCCUACCAAGGCGACGAUCCAUAGCCGGCCUGAGAAGGUGAACGGCCACAUUGGGACUGAGACACGGCCCAGACUCCUACGGGAGGCAGCAGUGGGGAAUAUUGCACAAUGGGGGAAACCCUGAUGCAGCGACGCCGCGUGAAGGAAGAAGUAUCUCGGUAUGUAAACUUCUAUCAGCAGGGAAGAUAAUGACGGUACCUGACUAAGAAGCCCCGGCUAACUACGUGCCAGCAGCCGCGGUAA
This 494-nucleotide ribosomal RNA is filed under the name uncultured bacterium. RNAcentral's name for it is "partial 16S ribosomal RNA". It matches the Rfam family "Bacterial small subunit ribosomal RNA", at positions 28 to 523 of the family's 1533-position model. The record is from RNAcentral.